This 72-nucleotide transfer RNA is filed under the name Mus musculus (house mouse). It matches the Rfam family "tRNA". Rfam says of the family: Transfer RNA (tRNA) molecules are approximately 80 nucleotides in length. Their secondary structure includes four short double-helical elements and three loops (D, anti-codon, and T loops). The record is from Rfam by way of RNAcentral. Lineage: Eukaryota; Metazoa; Chordata; Mammalia; Rodentia; Muridae.
GGUGAUCUAGCUUAGUGGUAGAGCGCUUUUCUAGUAUGCAAGGGGCCCUAGGUUCAAUCCCAAGCACCACCC